RNAcentral lists this small RNA (177 nucleotides) under uncultured Prevotella sp. RNAcentral's name for it is "Bacteroidales-1 6S-Bacteroidales RNA suggested". It matches the Rfam family "Bacteroidales-1 6S-Bacteroidales RNA suggested". The record is from RNAcentral. Lineage: Bacteria; Pseudomonadati; Bacteroidota; Bacteroidia; Bacteroidales; Prevotellaceae.
GUCGUAUCGAUUCGAUCGGGAUACUCAUCAAAUGAACACUGAAAACGGAGCAGUCUUCUUCUGCUAAUGGCGGGCCACAUCCCUGACGGGAAGUUGAAAAACCGGUGGAUUACAAAGGUAAAGAGCGCUCGAAUCUUAUAAAAAAGGAGUUUUCAUCACAUCCUCGAUGCGCCCCUU